AUUCCUACGGGAGGCAGCAGUGGGGAAUUUUGGACAAUGGGGGAAACCCUGAUCCAGCAAUGCCGCGUGUGCGAAGAAGGCCUUCGGGUUGUAAAGCACUUUUGUCAGGGAAGAAAUCCUUUGGGCUAAUACCCUAGGGGGAUGACGGUACCUGAAGAAUAAGCACCGGCUAACUACGUGCCAGCAGCCGCGGUAAUACGUAGGGUGCAAGCGUUAAUCGGAAUUACUGGGCGUAAAGCGUGCGCAGGCGGUUGUGUAAGACAGGUGUGAAAUCCCCGGGCUUAACCUGGGAAUUGCAUUUGUGACUGCACGACUAGAGUGUGUCAGAGGGGGGUGGAAUUCCACGUGUAGCAGUGAAAUGCGUAGAUAUGUGGAGGAACACCGAUGGCGAAGGCAGCCCCCUGGGAUAACACUGACGCUCAUGCACGAAAGCGUGGGGAGCAAACAGGAUUAGAUACCCUGGUAGUCCACGCCCUAAACGAUGUCAACUAGUUGUUGGGGAUUUACUUCCUUGGUAACGUAGCUAACGCGUGAAGUUGACCGCCUGGGGAGUACGGCCGCAAGGUUAAAACUCAAAGGAAUUGACGGAAU
This 591-nucleotide ribosomal RNA is filed under the name uncultured bacterium. Its description in RNAcentral is "bacterial SSU rRNA". It matches the Rfam family "Bacterial small subunit ribosomal RNA", at positions 335 to 919 of the family's 1533-position model. The record is from RNAcentral.